This 502-nucleotide long non-coding RNA is filed under the name Bos taurus (domestic cattle). RNAcentral describes it as "long non-coding RNA NONBTAT009280". Lineage: Eukaryota; Metazoa; Chordata; Mammalia; Artiodactyla; Bovidae. The record is from RNAcentral.
GUUUACAGUGUAUACAGUAAAAUGUAUUAAUAGAAAGGGCUUUUUUCCCACUCACACAGUUAUACAUUGUUCUAAAUGUAAAUUCAGUUUAACCUGGUUAUCUAUAAUCAUUUCCUGGUAAUGAUAAUUUAUUCUCAGUACUACCUAUAGAAAUAUAUUUUAUGUACAUAUACAAUUAGUCCAGUUAUUGAUAAUUCAGUUAACUUAGUUUGGUGUAUUCCUACCACAUACUAAAAAGUUUACAUUAAAUGACUGAUUUAAAUAUAUAGGUGCAAUGGUCUAUAUUUUUUAUUUUAACUAUGGUGACAUUUAAGUAGCUAACAUAAUUGACGGGUGUUUUAAUAGAUAAAUCUUCUUUUAAAAUAGCUUGCUUUACAUGAAAACUGACGCACUGGAAAUGUAACUACCCUUGGUUGGAACUUACGGUUCAGAUGAGAUGUUAAACAAGACACUGUGUUAUUUAGUUUAGGCAUUUCUCCCUUUCCAAUUAUAUACAACUAAC